UACGUAGGGGGCAAGCGUUGUCCGGAAUCAUUGGGCGUAAAGAGCGUGUAGGCGGCCCGGUAAGUCCGCUGUGAAAGUCCAGGCUCAACCCUGGGAUGCCGGUGGAUACUGUCGGGCUCGAGUCCGGAAGAGGCGAGUGGAAUUCCUGGUGUAGCGGUGAAAUGCGCAGAUAUCAGGAGGAACACCAAUGGCGAAGGCAGCUCGCUGGGACGUGACUGACGCUGAGGCGCGAAAGCUAGGGGGAGCAAACGGG
Molecule: ribosomal RNA, 253 nt
Filed under: uncultured bacterium
Lineage: Bacteria
Description: partial 16S ribosomal RNA
Rfam family: Bacterial small subunit ribosomal RNA
Source: RNAcentral